CCUACGGGUGGCAGCAGUGGGGAAUCUUCCGCAAUGGACGAAAGUCUGACGGAGCAACGCCGCGUGAGUGAUGACGGCCUUCGGGUUGUAAAGCUCUGUUAAUCGGGACGAAAGGUCCUCUUGCGAAUAGUUAGAGGAAUUGACGGUACCGGAAUAGAAAGCCACGGCUAACUACGUGCCAGCAGCCGCGGUAAUACGUAGGUGGCAAGCGUUGUCCGGAAUUAUUGGGCGUAAAGCGCGCGCAGGCGGAUCAGUCAGUCUGUCUUAAAAGUUCGGGGCUUAACCCCGUGAUGGGAUGGAAACUGCUGAUCUAGAGUUUCGAGGAGGAAAGGGGAAUUCCGAGUGUAGCGGUGAAAUGCGUAGAUAUUAGGAAGAACACCAGUGGCGAAGGCGACUUUCUGGACGAAAACUGACGCUGAGGCGCGAAAGCCAGGGGAGCGAACGGGAUUAGAUACCCUAGUAGUC
This 465-nucleotide ribosomal RNA is filed under the name uncultured Veillonella sp. Its description in RNAcentral is "bacterial SSU rRNA". It matches the Rfam family "Bacterial small subunit ribosomal RNA", at positions 338 to 795 of the family's 1533-position model. The record is from RNAcentral. Lineage: Bacteria; Bacillati; Bacillota; Negativicutes; Veillonellales; Veillonellaceae.